ACUAUAACCACAACCUCCAUUUACACCACUAAAUAAAAAUCUGAAUUUCCAUUGAAGUGUCUUAUUCUUGUUGAGCAUCCAUGAAUGACCCUAAAUACACACUUUAUUUCUCCUUUAAUUUUAGGUUGUCGUACUGUAUUUCCCAAAUAUCUUCUUCUUACAGUCAUAAUCUUCAUACGUUCCUUCAUGAAAGUUGUAGAUCUCGAAAAGUUAUUGAAUUUAGACCCAAAAAUCAUCUGAUUCGGAGUUCGGAGUAAAGAGUUAGACCCUCUGGAAGUUAUCUGUUAUUGCUGCCAAAUUUUAUACGUUCCUCCUGUUCCUUUGUUUAAAUUCUGAUUCAUGGAACCCGAAAGUCUAUUUAUUUGGUUAAGAACGCUAUGAUGUCAUGGAGAAUGAUUCUUGGAGAUGACGACACUUAAUGAGUAAAGGAAAUGAAUUAGUGUAUAAGGUAUUAUGAAGAUAGCUCUGGAUCAGUUAUGUCAAGGAUGCUCCGAAAAGGUCGAGUUGAAGCGACUCUACAUAUAUUUGGGAUAUUUAGAAUACUAUGUAUUAUGAGAAAUCAUUAUUACUCUAGUUGUGAGUUUGUAAAUUUUUAGAGACCAUUUUAAGGCUAUUAUUUUAUUUAUGGGCCCAUAACCCACAGCUUAAGUU
Long non-coding RNA from Beta vulgaris subsp. vulgaris (sugar beet), 651 nucleotides. RefSeq lists it as uncharacterized. Lineage: Eukaryota; Viridiplantae; Streptophyta; Magnoliopsida; Caryophyllales; Amaranthaceae. The transcript is spliced from 2 exons. The record is from RefSeq and is a predicted model, not a curated record.